Molecule: ribosomal RNA, 473 nt
Filed under: Klebsiella pneumoniae
Lineage: Bacteria; Pseudomonadati; Pseudomonadota; Gammaproteobacteria; Enterobacterales; Enterobacteriaceae
Description: bacterial SSU rRNA
Rfam family: Bacterial small subunit ribosomal RNA
Source: RNAcentral
UAACACAUGCAAGUCGAGCGGUAGCACAGAGAGCUUGCUCUCGGGUGACGAGCGGCGGACGGGUGAGUAAUGUCUGGGAAACUGCCUGAUGGAGGGGGAUAACUACUGGAAACGGUAGCUAAUACCGCAUAACGUCGCAAGACCAAAGUGGGGGACCUUCGGGCCUCAUGCCAUCAGAUGUGCCCAGAUGGGAUUAGCUAGUAGGUGGGGUAACGGCUCACCUAGGCGACGAUCCCUAGCUGGUCUGAGAGGAUGACCAGCCACACUGGAACUGAGACACGGUCCAGACUCCUACGGGAGGCAGCAGUGGGGAAUAUUGCACAAUGGGCGCAAGCCUGAUGCAGCCAUGCCGCGUGUGUGAAGAAGGCCUUCGGGUUGUAAAGCACUUUCAGCGGGGAGGAAGGCGAUAAGGUUAAUAACCUUGUCGAUUGACGUUACCCGCAGAAGAAGCACCGGCUAACUCCGUGCCAGCA